Molecule: ribosomal RNA, 254 nt
Filed under: uncultured bacterium
Lineage: Bacteria
Description: partial 16S ribosomal RNA
Rfam family: Bacterial small subunit ribosomal RNA
Source: RNAcentral
UACGUAGGGCGCAAGCGUUGUCCGGAAUUAUUGGGCGUAAAGAGCUCGUAGGCGGUUUGUCGCGUCUGCCGUGAAAACCCGAGGCUUAACCUCGUGGCUUGCGGUGGAUACGGGCAGACUAGAGGUAGGUAGGGGAGAAUGGAAUUCCCGGUGUAGCGGUGAAAUGCGCAGAUAUCAGGAAGAACACCCGUGGCGAAGGCGGCUCUCUGGGACGGUACUGACGCUGAGACGCGAAAGCGUGGGGAGCGAACAGG